This is a non-coding RNA of Schistosoma rodhaini, 46 nucleotides long. The record is from Rfam. Lineage: Eukaryota; Metazoa; Platyhelminthes; Trematoda; Strigeidida; Schistosomatidae.
GCACUGCUGAGGAGUCCCACAACAGGACGAAACUGCCGUCCAGUGC